CCUACGGGAGGCUGCAGUGAGGAAUAUUGGUCAAUGGCCGGGAGUCUGAACCAGCCAAGUCGCGUGAGGGAAGACGGCCCUACGGGUUGUAAACCUCUUUUGUCAGGGAGCAAGCUGCAUGUCGGGACCCUCUUUGAGAGUACCUGGUGAAAAAGCCUCGUCUAACUCCGUGCCAGCAGCCGCGGUAAUACGGAGGAUGCGAGCGUUAUCCGGAUUUAUUGGGGUUAAAGGGUGCGCAGUCGAAGGCACAAGUCAGUGGUAAAAUCGCGGGGCUCAACCCCGCCCCGCCGUUGAAACUGUGUCCCUUGAGUGCGAGAAGGGUAGGCGGAAUGCGUGGUGUAGCGGUGAAAUGCAUAGAUAUCACGAAGAACUCCGAUCGCGAAGGCAGCCUACCGGAGCGCAACUGACGCUCAUGCACGGAAGCGUGGGUAUCGAACAGGAUUAGAUACCCUGGUAGUC
Molecule: ribosomal RNA, 459 nt
Filed under: uncultured bacterium
Lineage: Bacteria
Description: partial 16S ribosomal RNA
Rfam family: Bacterial small subunit ribosomal RNA
Source: RNAcentral